CGGAGGAGAAGAAAAGAAAAAAGGAAAAAAAAAGGGAUUAUUUCUCAUUAAUCCAGCCGUUAACCCGGGGUCCACGACUUUUAAUCUGUGCCCUCGCUCAUGACUUCUUGAGAUCCCCCAUUCUCCAUCUCAAAAUCUAAUUUCGAUAGCACCUUGGGCAUUUCAAAUUCAGCUAGAGCAUUUUUUUCGUAAUCUUUGUAACUUUUUCUGUUUUUUCUUCUGUAAUGGUGCUUUAUUUUUUUGUUCAAUCUUGUAGCUUUGCCUGUAAUAUUAAGUGUAUCACAUUUUCAAUAUAACGACUGGUUCGAAGAUCAGAUAUGCGGAGUUUCAGUCGGGUCGCUGUUUUUUCCAUUUUUAUCCUUCUUUUUGCAUCUGGGACCUCCUCGAUUGAUAAUCUUCAUCAGGCUUUUCCUAUUAUAGUACCCGAUCCUGGUCACACAAAACUCCGCCUUUCGAGAGAAGGUUUGGAGGCAAUUGAGAGAAUAACGACUCCUAUUGCUGCUGUCGCAGUUAUUGGUCCAUAUCGUUCAGGAAAAUCUUUUCUGCUCAAUCAACUUCUCUCCCUCUCAUGUUAUGAAGGUUUUGGUGUAGGGCACAUGCGUGAUACCAAGACAAAAGGAAUAUGGGUAUGGGGAGCUCCACUAGAAUUGGAUAUAGAUGGAGUAAAAACUUCUGUCUUCUAUCUUGAUACGGAGGGAUUUGAAAGUAUUGGGAAAUCAAACGUAUAUGAUGACAGGAUUUUCGCCCUGGCCACUGUCAUGAGUUCUGUGCUUAUUUAUAACCUACCUGAGACGAUCCGUGAAGCAGAUAUAUCACGGUUAUCAUUUGCAGUUGAGCUUGCUGAAGAAUUCUAUGGCAGAGUGAAGGGGCAAGAUGUAGCUUUUGAACCUGCUAAGCUCCUCUGGCUCAUCCAGCGUGAUUUCCUACAAGGAAAAUCUGUGCAAGAAAUGAUAGAUGAGGCUCUCCGACAUGUCCCAAAUGCUGAUGGGGACAAGAAUAUUGAUCAGGUCAACCAGAUCCGUGAUUCUUUGGCAAUCAUGGGAACAAAUAGCACUGCCUUUAGCUUGCCACAGCCUCAUCUCCUGCGCACAAAGCUUUGUGACAUGAAGGAUGAUGAGCUCGAUCCAAUUUACAUACAGAAGAGGGAGAGAUUGAAAGAAAUUGUUGCUUCCAUCAUCCGUCCAAAGAUUGUCCAGGGUAAACUUCUCACUGGGAAGGAGUUUGUAUCAUUUUUGGAGCAGAUUCUUGAAGCCCUAAACAAAGGGGAGAUUCCAUCAACAGGCUCCCUUGUGGAGGUCUUUAAUAAGGGAAUUCUUGAUCGCUGCCUGAAACUUUACAGUGAUCGUAUAGGUAAGAUUGGUUUACCAACAUCCGUGGAGUCUCUACAGAAAGCUCAUGAAGGUUCCAAAGAAGCGGCCGUGAAAGUUUUUGAUGAUCAACAUUUUGGUCGUCACCAUGCCAAGAAAUCUGCUGAGAAAUUGGUUGAAGAAAUGGAGAAGGUAUACAAGAAUUACAUGUUGGCAAAUGAAUAUCAAUCUUCAAAACUGUGUGAGGCUUUAUAUACAAAAUGCGAGGACAAUAUGGACCAGCUUCAAGUCCUUAGACUUCCAUCUAUGGCUAAAUUUAAUGCUGGGUUUCUGCAUUGCAACCAAAGCUUCGAAAAGGAAUGUAUUGGACCUUCGAAAACUAGCUAUGAGCAUAGAAUGAUGAAGAUGUUGGGGAAGUCAAAAUCCCUAUUCAUCAAAGAAUACAACCACAGGCUUUUUAAUUGGUUGGUGGCCUUUUCACUCGUCAUGGUGGUACUAGGCCGGUUUAUAAUAAAGUUUAUUUUGAUAGAGAUUGGAGCAUGGAUACUAUUUAUAUUCUUAGAGACCUACACGCGCAUGUUUUGGUCAGCAGAAUCUCUUUAUUACAACCCAGUAUGGCAUGUUAUUGUCACGACUUGGGAAACCCUCGUAUACAGCCCCAUCCUUGAUUUGGACAGAUGGGCGAUUCCUCUUGCCAUUAUAGUUGCAAUAUUGGUCGUUUACUGGCGAUGCUAUGGAAGGAGGAAACAUGGUUCUCAUUGGCUGUUACCUAUGUAUAAUAAUCAGAAAGAUCGACGGAGAUCAGAAUGAUCAAGACAUGAAUUACAUCGAACCAUAUACCGCUCCUUUCAUUCAAUCUUGGUGGGCUUCUAUUUUUAUGCCCAAGGCACGCUGGAUUAGUGUGAAUUAUCAGCUCUUAAACCCCAAAAAUGGGAAGAUUCAAAGGUCUCAGAGAGAUGUGCAUGGUGUUGUGACAAUUACAGUGGAAAAUAGCUGCUGAAUUUCGCAAUCUAUUUGGGGGUGUCGGUGGGACAUGGGAGCCUCAGCUCAUGCAUCGGUUUACAGAAAUCCAUCUGGCAUGAAUUCCAUGCAUUUCUAGUAUAGUGGAGGUGAGAGCCACCAAGACGAAGGAAGAUAGGGAAGUACGUAGGUCGAGGACCAAAAGGAGAAAUUUGUGUUGUAUACAUUUGAAAAUAUCAAUCAUACACAGUAAAAUACAGUUAUUUAGGUAA
Molecule: RNA transcript, 2539 nt
Organism: Olea europaea var. sylvestris
Lineage: Eukaryota; Viridiplantae; Streptophyta; Magnoliopsida; Lamiales; Oleaceae
Gene name: guanylate-binding protein 7
Exons: 18
Source: RefSeq, a predicted model, not a curated record